Molecule: ribosomal RNA, 1119 nt
Filed under: Triticum aestivum (bread wheat)
Lineage: Eukaryota; Viridiplantae; Streptophyta; Magnoliopsida; Poales; Poaceae
Description: partial small subunit ribosomal RNA
Source: RNAcentral
AUGGAGUUGACACAAGACCCGGCCGACCAUGAGCCACCUCUCACUACUUUUGUACUACAUUUCAUCCUUGUUCUUGGCAAGCUUCUUUCUCUCCUUUUUCAUUUUGAUGGGAGUGAUGGACGGAAGAGAGCGUCCUUCAGUCCACUCACGGGCGGUGCUAGGAUCGAAUUAGCUGCCGACUCAUUCAUCCACUUGCCGAGCAAACGGGCUGGGACAAAAUACGGUGCUUUGCUUGCUUUUGCUGGUGUGGGGGAUCGAUCGAUCACAUCGCGCGUCUUUGGGGUCGUGCGAACAGUGAGACGUCUUUCGAUCUCCCUGUUUGCUUUGGAACUUGGCACGCAACCAGGGAAAUUCUCCCCCCUCGCAUGUUGCUCGUCCAUGGAAAUAUAUCUUGUUUGUGAUGAUGGCAAGCGUGCAUGGACUCUCCUUGAAUUGCUGGAUGUUCUUUGUGGGGCUGGGGGUUACUGCAAGCCGGCCCGCUCUGUCCGUCAAAGCUGUGGGAGGCACUGUCUAGCCUUUUCACUGCAGAUUAAUGUUCUGUUCUUGACUGCCUCCUUUUGUACUCCCAUGUCCUCCUUUUCAUCGCCAAUUAAUGGUUCCAGAUGUGGCGCCUACAAAUUCCGAGGGAGAGGGCUCCCUUUCCCGAUUUGCAAGUGCAACCUGUUCCGUUUCACUAGGAGGGAUGAUGCUUAUUAUAUGGACUCAGGCUGGGGUUCCUCUCUUCUUUUCUUGCAAGGGAUGGAUGGAGAGCAGCCAUUGGAGCCGCGCGCCAUCGCUGCCACCGGAGCCGCGCGCCCCCAGAGCCACCCUCGUCCGCUCCUCGCUGCCCCUGCUCCCUCGUCACCCCUGCCUCCGUCGCCGUCACCGGAGCCGCCACCGGAGCCGCGCGCCAUCGCCGCCACCGGAGCCGCGCGCCCCCGGAGCCACCCUCGUCCGCUCCUCGCCGCCCUUGCCUCCCUCGACGCCCCUGCCUCCCUCGCCGUCACCGGAGCCGCCGUAGACGCCACCGGAGCCACCCUCGACGCCCUCCGCGCCACCGUCUCCCCUGAGCACCUACCCGCAACCGUUCCCCCGAGCUACCCUCAACGCCUCCUCUCUGACAAACUUGUAUAUGCUUAA